UGUAAGACCCCUAAAUUCCACUUUUAAUUUAUAUGAGUUUAUGGAGUAAAUUAAGUGUGGAAAGGAUGUUGAGUUUGGAAAUGAAAAAAACAAGGUUUUGGUUGUUUUGUUGAAGUCUGAACAAACUCGUACCUUUUUGACCCCUUUACGUUUUGAUUUGGUUUUUAUGGUCAACAUGAAAGUUGUAGAUCUCUUCGUUAGCUUUCCAACGAAUAUUGGUGCGUCUCAAUUGGACAACCAGAACUCAAGUUAUGAUCGUUUCCGUAAGAGGCGGAUUCGCAGAAAUUUUCCCACACUUCCUAGCACUCGAGCCAGGCACAGCAGAGGCCCAUUUUAGGCCAAAACCUGACCAUGGGGGCUGAGCAUAGGCGCAUGGUACUGUUCACAGGUGGACUUUUGUGACUUUUAGUUGACUUUAGGGGUUUAUGCACCCGGGACCUUUGUUGCUUAGUUUUUUGCGUAGAUUUCGUUUCCGAGGUUUGUUGUUGGGCUAAGGAAUGCUAUUUGGAUUUGUCUUAUGGAAGACCAUUAGUUAUAGAUAGGUUGAUUAGAGUUCGAGAGUUAUUAGUUCGAGUAUCGUCAUUAUUACGAUAUAUUUUGCUGAGAUCGUGCCUGUUUUGUGUUCGAAUGUCAGAAUGACACGGGGUUUGUUUUCCUAGUCUUCUUAUAGGAAUGAGGAUGAUCCUGUGUCUUUAGAAUUUCAUUUUUCGCGUUAUGCUAGUUUUUGAGAAAACGGGCAAUAGUUUACCCGCUGUCGUAAAAUUUUACGGUUUCGGAAUUCAGUAAAAUUUUAGAUAGAAGAUUUAUUUAUCUGCGCGAGUUAGGAUAUGUCCUGAGAAUAAUUUUCGAGAGUGUGGAAGAAAAUUACAGUCGCGGAAAAAGAUUCGGCGAUAAGUUUUGGAAUUAUUUUGAGACGGACUUCCGUUCCGUAAGUUUUCUGUUUUUACGAGUUUUGCUCGUCGCGGCGCGCGAGAGCUGUGGGGCGUGAGAGAAAAUAUCUAGAUAUUUGUUAAAGUAAAAUGGAUGGCUAGGAUUUGAUCUAGAGAAAGUGCUUUUGAUCCAAUGGCUAGGAAUGACCAAGACCAAUGUAUAGUAAGGAGGUUUAGCUUCUUUGGGGACUUAGAAAAAUCUGAAUUUUUCCAUUUCUCUUCCUCUCCAAACCGUGAAGCCAUCCCCCAUUUUCAUACCUUCACCAAUUUUUCAUUUCAUCACCAAAUCAUCUCAUUCCAAGCUAGGGAAAUCCAUAGAACUUGCAAGGAAAUCACUUCUCUUAAGGAAACGCGAAACGGUAGAAUAGAGCGAACGUUGUGGUUUUUGAUUGGAAGCUUGCCGAGGUAAGGGCACCUUCUAUUUAUGCCUUACUUCCGACAAUAACAUGUGUUGUUUUGGCUUGUUGUUUAUGCACUGGUUGUGAGUGCUUUGUAUGGUUGCGUUAUGUAUUCUCGUAAUGAGUUAUGUUGAAUACAUAUUGGUUGUUUACAUAUUAUGCGAAUAUGUAUGUUGGAAUGUUUGAGAUUACAUAUUAAUGAGAAUAUGUAAGUUGUUGCAUUAGUAUAUGUAGAGAAGGCGUAUGCUCAUGCAUUCAUAGUGGGUAUUUGAUCUGAGUGAUUGUACCCGGUGAUACUCCCGCCUUUAAGUGAGCCGGUAUUUGAUCUGAGUGAUUGUACCCGCCGUUAAUGGAGCCGGUAUUUGAUCUGAGUGAUUGUACUCGGGGUAUUCCACCAAUUGAGUAGGUGUUUGAUCUGAGUGAUUGCACCCGGUGUUAUCCCACCGUUUGAUUCCGGAAUCCAUGCAUGUGACGAUCCUGUGACGGGGUGUCACACUCAUUCAUUAGAGGUUUUGCAUUAGGUUAUGUGUGCACUUUAUUCAUUGUUCUUGGUGUUGAGAAUUAUGUUAAAUGAUUACUCGCUUUCCGUUUUGGUACUUGGUAUUUGGUAUGUAUAUUUGUUUCAGUUGGUGACCCUUGCUUUGUAUGUGAUAAAUGAACGGGUUAUCCCCCACCUUAGAUGACGGAGAGCCUAGCGAGACUGUGGGUCAUGUGGAUGGCGAGGACUUCGUGGACUAUCCCGGAGUGUAGAGAGUAGCGCUUGUUAGGCUACAUUUUUGGUUAGGCUUAGGGCCUAGUUGUAUUUUGGAUGACUGUAUGUCUUAUACAUUUAUACUCAGACAUGUUUAGUGCCUUUUGGCCUUGUGAUAUAUUCGGUUCAUAACUCGUGUCUUUUGGUUGAUGAACUUAAUGUAUCCGCUGUUUGUAAAUUAUUCAGGUACACACUUUGCUUCGAGGAAGCCCUGUAAUAUAAUGUGUUGAUGUUAUAUUUAUUUUUCUAUUGAAUGACGAAUUGCCGAGAUAGCUGCGGGCGUUCACGCGCGCCAUUUUAUUUAAGCGUGUUGUUAAAAAAAAAAAAUAAUACCCCUUUUUAUGCUUUGAAAAACGGGGUGUUACAUUUUGGUAUCAGAGCUCGACAGUAGAUCUUCAAAGGGAAAGUGUGUACAUGAGUUAACAGUCUGAGGUCACUUAGUUUAGAGUUGGAUUCGCGUCGGGUUAGCGAAUCAUUUGUGGGUAGCAGUGUGUCUUGUUUGCUAGUAUUGGCGCAUUAACUCGUUUCGUUAAUGUGUGUCUUCAACCAAUCCGUGAUUCAACUACGUUUGGCGCUUAUCAAGUCGGAUGUGGAAUUGGAAAAAGAUUUAUUAGGCCAAGUGUGUCUCCGUGGGGAGCAUCAGUCCUAUGGGUGAAAAGGAAAGAUGGACUUGGAGCGAAUCAAAACUACAAGGGAUUCUUGGAAGUGGCAUUGGACGUGGCCACUCGACAAUGUUGAGUGUGGACGAGUGGACGUCGUUCUUGUAAAGGAUUGCAAGUACGGAAUUAUUUAGGGGAACCUCUUAAGAAAAAUAUUGGAUGUCUUCUACGAUGAGUUCGGGACGAGACUCGAUGAAGCCGUUUAGUUGUCAAGAAGGUGCGACCGUUGUGGAAUGGUGGAGCAGACAACGAGGUCAAUUGGUAUUAAUUACGACGAUUGGAAAAUCAUCGAGGCAAGUCGCACUAGAAUUGAAGGACGUUGCGUGUCAAGAGUGAGUGAACCUUGCGUGGCUAGACGACGGUUAUACCGACAAUGGGUACCUUAAGGGUUUAAGUUGAGUGUUUAAGACAUAUGGGAUUAUGAAAUGUGAGUAUUAAGGUAAAUCACGUGAUGAUUUAAGGUAGGAGAACAAAUAUCACGUUGAUAAGUGAUGAACUAUGCGUAGUUCAGGGGAUAGUAAGUAUAGGUGUCGAUGUGAGACAAGAAUAUAGUUGGUUAAUUUUUGGAUCAUGGGUGAAUUUGGAGGGAUGUUUAGGUAAAGAACGAGUAGUUCAACCUUGGAAAAUGAAUUGUGUGUCGAUGUUAAGCGAUGCUAGAGGUAUAUAGUGUGGAAAUACCUAGAGAGUUGUAGCCGUGUAAGCUAGAAUUGUUAGUUUUGGCGGGUAAAACCUAAGAGAAAUUAAAUUUCUCAAGUAGUUUGACGGGAUUAGACCAUGAGUGAGUAGAGGCUCGGUAUGAAUGGGCAUUUAAGUUAACGAUUUCGAUCGACCGAGAGGGACGAAUGAUCAAGUAGCACCUUGAGUUUAUGAUAUCAUAGGAGUUGAAGUGGAAAUUUUUUGAGUAAAACAAGUUAUGGACGGAAAUUUUUAGAAAAUUUUCUAGAAAUGUCGUAGAUGAAUAAAAAAGGGGUUCGUUAGUAAGAGUACUAAGACAAUGAGAGUGAUAGUUGGAAGGACAUUUUGUUGAAUGUUAAGAUGUAAUGGGAAAUUUGGAUGAUAUGGCUAGUAUUUUAAGUUCUUGAGGAUUAGAUUCAAGGAGUUGAUUUAUGUAUCGGACCUAUUACGGAAGUUAUGGUAGCGUAUGAUUUAUUCUUGGUGGGUAGUCUCAAGAAGACGAGCAUUAAGAUUUGAAAUAAGUGUCGGACACUAGAUGGAUGAGCAAGAUGAGUCAAUUUGGAAGUUAAUCAUAAUGACGUUCUAAGGAUAAGGUUAGAGAUAGUUAUGCAUAAAGGGCUAAUAACUAGGAACAUGGAUGGUUAAUUAUUUAGAGUGUUCGAUUACGAGGAAUGUGUUGGUUGCAUCUUAGAGAAGGCUAGAAGUGAGUAAGAACUUUUUGAGUAAGUAGAUGCGUCGAGAUGAGCGGCAAGAACUUGUGCGCGAAGUGGGUAAUUAGUAUUAGAAAAUACUAUAACUUUAGAUAGUUACGACGAUUAGGGAUUGGUCGAACGGAGAAGCACAUGGCAACGGGGCCUGUGAGAACUAAGGAAUUCGCGAAAAGGAUUACCUCACACAUAAUUUGGAAAAUUAUGAUUGUGCGUGUAUGUUGAGGAGUCGAAAGCACCACAUGAACGGAGGUCAUGGCGGUGUGUUUGUUAUAUGUGGAAGUAAAAAAGGAGGUUAGUAAUUGUUCUAAUGAAGAUGGGCGUAGCAUAGUGGAAAGUGCGCGUUGAGAAAAUAAAGGACAUCGGAUGUUAACAAUAAAGAGGAGAGGUUGGAACAAUUAAGGAGGUCGAGGGUGACGAACUCUUUUGAGGAAGAGAGAAUUUAUUGGUAAGAGGAAGGAAACUCGACGAAGUUUUAAAAUGGUUUGGGAAUUUAACAAAAGAUUUUAUAAGUUGACAACCGCCAAGACAACUUGGGGAGUUGUAAUCACCAACCGGAUGUUGGGAUGGUAUUAUUAAAAAUGAGAUUGGAAUGAGAUUAGUGUAUGAACGAACGGUGCGGCGAAGUUACGAGAUCAAAAAAAAAAAAAUUUUUUUUUAAGGAUUUACGGACAUUGGUGAAGUUGUAAGGUUCUACGGAGAUGACAACUUCUUUCGGAGUAUUUAUGUUGUGGGCGGUUGCGACUCGUAGACAAGAUCGAGGUAGUAAGAAUUGAGGAGACAUGUAGAAAACCUCGAAGAAGACGUUGGACCUUUGUGAUUCAGAUGAAUUGAGUACAAGUGGCUGAGAGUGCUAUUGUAGUUUGGUAAAGAUGGUCUAUGUCACCAUCAUGGUUGUCGACUAUCUAGUGACAAAUUGAGGAACUGAUCGUCCUUAAUCUCUUGUUAUUAGUAGGCGGAAUCGUGUUGACUGGAAUGGACUAGUUUGGCCAGCUUUGGUAGUGCGUAAAGUUUUUGAAAAUUCUUUUUGGAAGGUAGCCGUCACUGUUUCGUGUAAACUUAAUGAAAUGGACUAUGAUGCGGAGGCAGAAGAAUGUGAUGUUGGAAACGUCAUGUGAUAACUUAGGUUGCGGACUUUCGUGAAGUUAAUCUAAGUUAUUACUCUCACUUUAGUUUCGAGGACGAAACUUCUUAUUGGUGGGUAGUAAUGUAAGACCCCUAAAUUCCACUUUUAAUUUAUAUGAGUUUAUGGAGUAAAUUAAGUGUGGAAAGGAUGUUGAGUUUGGAAAUGAAAAAAACAAGGUUUUGGUUGUUUUGUUGAAGUCUGAACAAACUCGUACCUUUUUGACCCCUUUACGUUUUGAUUUGGUUUUUAUGGUCAACAUGAAAGUUGUAGAUCUCUUCGUUAGCUUUCCAACGAAUAUUGGUGCGUCUCAAUUGGACAACCAGAACUCAAGUUAUGAUCGUUUCCGUAAGAGGCGGAUUCGCAGAAAUUUUCCCACACUUCCUAGCACUCGAGCCAGGCACAGCAGAGGCCCAUUUUAGGCCAAAACCUGACCAUGGGGGCUGAGCAUAGGCGCAUGGUACUGUUCACAGGUGGACUUUUGUGACUUUUAGUUGACUUUAGGGGUUUAUGCACCCGGGACCUUUGUUGCUUAGUUUUUCGCGUAGAUUUCGUUUCCGAGGUUUGUUGUUGGGCUAAGGAAUGCUAUUUGGAUUUGUCUUAUGGAAGACCAUUAGUUAUAGAUAGGUUGAUUAGAGUUCGAGAGUUAUUAGUUCGAGUAUCGUCAUUAUUACGAUAUAUUUUGCUGAGAUCGUGCCUGUUUUGUGUUCGAAUGUCAGAAUGACACGGGGUUUGUUUUCCUAGUCUUCUUAUAGGAAUGAGGAUGAUCCUGUGUCUUUAGAAUUUCAUUUUUCGCGUUAUGCUAGUUUUUGAGAAAACGGGCAAUAGUUUACCCGCUGUCGUAAAAUUUUACGGUUUCGGAAUUCAGUAAAAUUUUAGAUAGAAGAUUUAUUUAUCUGCGCGAGUUAGGAUAUGUCCUGAGAAUAAUUUUCGAGAGUGUGGAAGAAAAUUACAGUCGCGGAAAAAGAUUCGGCGAUAAGUUUUGGAAUUAUUUUGAGACGGACUUCCGUUCCGUAAGUUUUCUGUUUUUACGAGUUUUGCUCGUCGCGGCGCGCGAGAGCUGUGGGGCGUGAGAGAAAAUAUCUAGAUAUUUGUUAAAGUAAAAUGGAUGGCUAGGAUUUGAUCUAGAGAAAGUGCUUUUGAUCCAAUGGCUAGGAAUGACCAAGACCAAUGUAUAGUAUAAGGAGGUUUAGCUUCUUUGGGGACUUAGAAAAAUCUGAAUUUUUCCAUUUCUCUUCCUCUCCAAACCGUGAAGCCAUCCCCCAUUUUCAUACCUUCACCAAUUUUUCAUUUCAUCACCAAAUCAUCUCAUUCCAAGCUAGGGAAAUCCAUAGAACUUGCAAGGAAAUCACUUCUCUUAAGUUGGUGACCCUUGCUUUGUAUGUGAUAAAUGAACGGGUUAUCCCCCACCUUAGAUGACGG
This is a long non-coding RNA of Trifolium pratense (red clover), 6664 nucleotides long. RefSeq lists it as uncharacterized. NCBI's taxonomy places the organism in Eukaryota, Viridiplantae, Streptophyta, Magnoliopsida, Fabales, Fabaceae. The transcript has 3 exons. The record is from RefSeq and is a predicted model, not a curated record.